Molecule: ribosomal RNA, 595 nt
Filed under: uncultured bacterium
Lineage: Bacteria
Description: bacterial SSU rRNA
Rfam family: Bacterial small subunit ribosomal RNA
Source: RNAcentral
CCUACGGGAGGCAGCAGUGGGGAAUAUUGGGCAAUGGAGGAAACUCUGACCCAGCGACGCCGCGUGCGGGAUGAAGGCCUUCGGGUUGUAAACCGCUUUCAGUAGGGAAGAAGCGAAAGUGACGGUACCUACAGAAGAAGCACCGGCUAACUAUGUGCCAGCAGCCGCGGUAAUACAUAGGGUGCAAGCGUUGUCCGGAAUUAUUGGGCGUAAAGAGCUCGUAGGUGGUUCGUCACGUCGGAUGUGAAAAUCUGGGGCUCAACCCCAGACCUGCAUUCGAUACGGGCGAUCUAGAGUGUGGUAGGGGAGACUGGAAUUCCUGGUGUAGCGGUGGAAUGCGCAGAUAUCAGGAGGAACACCAAUGGCGAAGGCAGGUCUCUGGGCCAUUACUGACACUGAGGAGCGAAAGCGUGGGGAGCGAACAGGAUUAGGAUACCCUGGUAGUCCACGCCGUAAACGGUGGGCACUAGUUGUGGGAACCUUCCACGGUUUCUGCGACGCAGCUAACGCAUUAAGUGCCCCGCCUGGGGAGUACGAUCGCAAGNUUAAACUUAAAUGAAAUUGAGGCUGAGAGUGCGAGCGACACGAGGAGAGG